RNAcentral lists this ribosomal RNA (641 nucleotides) under Escherichia coli. RNAcentral's name for it is "partial 23S ribosomal RNA". It matches the Rfam family "Bacterial large subunit ribosomal RNA", at positions 1243 to 1869 of the family's 2925-position model. The record is from RNAcentral. Lineage: Bacteria; Pseudomonadati; Pseudomonadota; Gammaproteobacteria; Enterobacterales; Enterobacteriaceae.
UAAGCCUGUGAAGGUGUACUGUGAGGUAUGCUGGAGGUAUCAGAAGUGCGAAUGCUGACAUAAGUAACGAUAAAGCGGGUGAAAAGCCCGCUCGCCGGAAGACCAAGGGUUCCUGUCCAACGUUAAUCGGGGCAGGGUGAGUCGACCCCUAAGGCGAGGCCGAAAGGCGUAGUCGAUGGGAAACAGGUUAAUAUUCCUGUACUUGGUGUUACUGCGAAGGGGGGACGGAGAAGGCUAUGUUGGCCGGGCGACGGUUGUCCCGGUUUAAGCGUGUAGGCUGGUUUUCCAGGCAAAUCCGGAAAAUCAAGGCUGAGGCGUGAUGACGAGGCACUACGGUGCUGAAGCAACAAAUGCCCUGCUUCCAGGAAAAGCCUCUAAGCAUCAGGUAACAUCAAAUCGUACCCCAAACCGACACAGGUGGUCAGGUAGAGAAUACCAAGGCGCUUGAGAGAACUCGGGUGAAGGAACUAGGCAAAAUGGUGCCGUAACUUCGGGAGAAGGCACGCUGAUAUGUAGGUGAAGUCCCUCGCGGAUGGAGCUGAAAUCAGUCGAAGAUACCAGCUGGCUGCAACUGUUUAUUAAAAACACAGCACUGUGCAAACACGAAAGUGGACGUAUACGGUGUGACGCCUGCCCGGUGC